UCCCCCGCCAACGAGGGAGCCCGCGCGCGCACAGCUUCUCUGCCAAGUGUGAGAGUGACUCGUGGAAACUUCACCUCUCUCACCAUUGCUCUUACUUCGACGCCCACAAACCACCAAAGUGUUUUCUGUGUGUGCCUCGUGCUCCCCUAAGGCCAUGCCUAACAAGGGAAACAACAAACGACCCAAGGGUUGUAUGCCGGACAAGAAGCCAAGCCAAGACCGAAUCAAGAGUCAGCCGAAGGAGCAGAAGGAAGAGAAACCGAAGGAAAAAGAGAAAAAAUAAAGGUGACGCCAACUCAGCUGGCCUGUCAUCCAACGGGUACCAACUUUCCAACGUUCCAGUCUCCGCUCUUUCGUCUCAACAUGCGCCAUAGCCUCUCCUCCUCCCCCCUCCGCCGUCAGCGUGUCUCGUCUCUCCAGGUGACCCCAGGGCUCAACCCCGCGCGCCUCACCUCAUCGUGGCGUUUUGCCUCCCACCGGCGGCCCGACACUUCCAGGUUACACACCCUACCUCCCCUCCGUACUUCUAGACUAGAGCUUCAAGGUUCCAGAAUGCACUAGAGCUGUCCACGGCCCACCAUACUCUCCUCCUUAGUCUCCCUUUACAUCUACAGCCAUAGUUUCCUUGCAUCCACCUCAUCUCAUCGCCUCUCGUGAGGGAUGGCUCCCUUCUCUUUGUACUUCAUGGCUCUAGACAAUCCUCUGCAGCUCCCACGCGCAUUCCGACUUCGUGCCCUGAGAACAAACGGGAGCUGCAGACGUCAAGCUAAAACUUUUUUUUCUAAAAUUCCCGGCCUGUUGACCGUGCAACAAUGCCGCCAUCUUCCCUCUCGGCCACUUCACUCUUCUCAGGGCCGCUUCGUCCUCUCCUUCUGAGCUCAUGGCAGCGCUCAUGGCGUUCGGAUGACCUCGUGGCUGCAUCCCCGACCCUCCCCAGAGGUGCCACAGCAACAGCCCCAAAUCCUUCUCCGGGAAUUUCCAGAAAGACUGCGAGAUUGUCUGGAAACUUCCUGGCUCCCCCACGCCCCUCCCCGCCGCCUCCUGGAUCAUCCUCGCGAGGCCCUCGACGUCCAUCUCGCCCUCUCGACCUCUUCUCAGACUGCCUCCUCGCCCCCUCCCCCGCCUCCUGCCCCACCUCCUGACCUCGUCUGUGCACCCACGUUGCCAGUGCUUGCUUCCAGUGCCAUAUUUUUCAGACAACGAAUGUGUUUUGUUGUCGAAUUACAAUCUCUUGAGAGAAAUGUAUUUUUGGAUAUAAUUAUUUAGCAGGAAGGAAAAAAAGAAUAUUUGAUACUGUAUAUCUUAGUUAACGAUUAUUUUCUACAUACAUUUAUAUACAUAUAUUUUGCAGAUUCCAAGUAUUUGAUAUUUCAGCAACUAAUCUUUUCUGUGUAUAUUGUUUUUUCAUGUAUUUUGUACUAAUUUUCAUGUAACAUUUUCCGUAGAUCUCUUCCUUAAAUUCCUCUUUAUUCCCAGUCUCAUAUCCUACCCCGUAAGCAGGCCUAUUUUUUUCAUCGAUAAAAUCCAAAACCUCUUCACAUAUCAUACCUUUCAUUGUCUCUUUUUUUGCGUGUUUUCCCUCUCUCGUUAACCUUUCUUUCUGUCUUUCUCAUCGCGAGCCGGGCACUCUGCUCUCCAAGUGGCUCUCCGCUCGGCUUGGAGACUCCUUCACUCCGUAAUUGUGUCUGCCUCGCGACUUUAGCCCUGGGUGCUCCUAACAGCCCCCCUCGGCACCUCUCACCCAGCACUUCUUUGCAGAUUCGCCCCACUCGGGUCACAUCUCAUUACUCUAAACUUCUUUACUCUUUAACAGUAGUCCCUGGUUAUGACGUCACGCUCCAAAUGAUACCUUCUCUUCGCUUUCUCACGCUGCCUCUCCAGUGCUUUGUUAUAUUUCAAAAAUUUCCCCCUUCCCUCAUUCAAUGUACAUUCUGCCAUUUCCUCUUUGUUUCCAAAUUACUCUCCCCUCACUUAUUUAUAUCCGACUCGUAAUUACUUUGUUUAUAUAUAUCACAUCUCGACACUGAUCUUAAUUCACACUCUCCUCUUCGCCUGUUCUUUCCCCCUUGAUCUGACUGAAAACGCAAAAACGAAAAAUUCACUAACACAUACUAACACACACACGCAUGCAUUACUCGCCCCCCUCUCAUUAUUGAACUUCCCUAUGCUGCCCUACAACCCUAUGUUGUUCUAUGCCCUUCACAUUCCCUCUCCUGGCCUGCUGCAGCGUAUAUCAAUCUCAAUAUCUUUUAACGCGCACUUCGUACCUUCGUUGCCAAGCAUUCAUUCUUCUGGCACGUGCGAAUGUUUACAAAACAUUCAAGGGAUGUUUUAUUAAAUUCGGUUUAUUUGAGGUACACGAAGGAUUAAUUACAUAUAUAAAAUAUGAUAGCAUAACUACACCACACGGAUAUUUUAAUUACUAUGCUACAGUGCUACAUUUAUAUCAGUACCUAAUGUAACUGCGGAUUUUAAUUAAGAAUUAAGCCAAAUAGUGUUAGAAUACACAAGAUAGAGUUACACUAACACAUGCAGCAAAAUACACAGCCAUAUACACAGCACAGACAGCUGUAUAAUCGCGCGCAGUUCACGUUUGGCCCGGCACACACAACAAGCACACUUAACAUACAUUUCCUUUCCGCUCAGAACAAAGCUCUCACACUCGCCAGGGAUUUGAGCGCUUCCCCUCCCUCCUUCCCUCCCUCUUCCCCCCUCCCCUUCUUUCCAUCUCUGGACCUUGCCCUCUUAUUCUCCUCCUUAUUUGCUUUUCGUCUUCCUUUUGUUCUUCACGGUGGCUUAGUUUCGAUCUGGCAUCUGUUUCUCGCUCUUUAUUUUCUUAUUUCUUUUUAUUCAUCUUAUUUCUUUUUCAUCCCUUUUCCUCUGCGGCCCAUCCCUAGUCUGCCAGCCGAUCCCCUAAAUGGCAUUACCCAUCGUAAACUUUCUUCCAACCCAUAAUCCUAAUGGUAUAUCCUGACCCCAUGUCGCUGUGUCCACACCUUUUUUGCGUUAUACUAAGUGGUCGACACAGUCCAUUGUCCCAGUGUUAUCAGAUUACACACUUUGAGACACUUUAUCUUAUCAUUUCUUAUACAAAAUCUAUCGUUUUGUUUUUCUUUAAUUAACUCCUAUAUUAUGCUCUUCUACACUCUUAUCAACAUCCUUACGGGCCAUUGCUUGCACUUGCAUGCUUUCUUUCCUUAUCAUUUGGCUCUCUCUUCCUUUCAUUUAUGUAAUUUGUCACCUUAGUCUUGGAAAUAUUAGUUUAUGUUCUUGCACAUUAUAUUUUAACAAUUGUAAAAUGUGUUUUAAGUAUAGAAGUAUGUAAAUGUGUUCAUAGUUUAUGUAAAGUAGAUUGUUAGAUUACUUCAGUACAUAAAUCAAAUUAGCUUCAUUUAUUGAUUUACUUAUGAACCGCAUUAACUAACAACCGCCACUCUCUUUUCGCUCCUCGUUUUGGUACCUUCGACGAGUGCAAAAUACAUAUUUGCUCCAAACGAAAAAUUUGUAUCUAUGUCACGGCUUUUACAGGUCUGUAGAAGUUAGAUUUUUACUACAGUUUAAACCCAAAACCCCCUUUUUCGAAAUUUCUGUGACUCCUGCGCCUUACCCUACUGUUUGUACCGUAGUAAAUGAUUUACUUCGUUAACAUGGCAGGAGGUUGAUCGUCGGAGCUACAGUUGGUGCAAUACUCCCCCUAGUAAUCAUUCAAAGAUCUACCCUUCUGUGUGCAUUUAACUCGUGUAGCCCAUAAGUCACAGCGUGAGUGCGUUUUACAGUCACCCAUCACUAUGUGUAUCGAAGAGUAUUGCAUCAACGCACCUCCAGAUAAGUUUGUAUCAACGUUUGUGUAUAACUGUAUGUGAAGCUGGUAAUACCUUUAAAAACAAAAGACUCGCGCAACCCGUAACGUUGGCCGAUGAUUCUGCACCAAACAGUAACGAUUAAAGUAAAAUAAAUAAACUUUUUAUGCAGUAAUACAACUUUUUUGAGGGAUUUGAGGCUUCAUCCUUACUGGUUGUGGUGUAGGAAAUGUUGUAUUUUACAUUGUUGCCUUAAGGAAUAGCAAACGUGUUAUAAUCAAUGUUUUAUUUUCCACGUAUAGCUUAGAUGUUUUUUAGCUGUCAAGGAUAUGCGGAUGGACCAGGCGAACCCCAGGCUGUUAUUGGGGGUUCAAGGGGUUUAGCAAUUAAAGAUGAUGAUUCAGAGGAUUGACGGUUCUUCCUUUCACGGGGAUUGACGUAAGGGUUAUUUUGCUAGUCAGGCUAAAUAGAAAUUAAUCCUUAUUGAAGCCCCCCGAAGGACGAUUUUUUUGUCAGCCAGCUGGUCAGUUCGCAUAGUCCUCUACUGAGCCCAAAUUAUGUUUAGAUAGCUGUUUUAGAUAUAUAAUCCAGCAUUUACUCAAACCUUACACCAUUUAGAGACAUAUAACAACCACCAUCCCUGAAAGAAACCUAUAACACCAGUAAAGUCUGAAAUUAUUUUUUGAUGGAAACUUGAUUUGUAGAUAUUUUCGCAUGGUUACUACCCUGAAUAAAUAAAGCUUGUGAAUAAAAUAUAGGAAAACGGUUGGCCUUCCGUAAAGUAAGUCGAUUAAACAAGAAACUACAAAUAACAAUAUACAAAAUCUAAUUGUAGUUAAAGCAUUCGUUUAUUUUCUUUGAUUUCAUCGAAUAUAUAUAUUUUUACCAAAGUCAAAUGGAAGACAAGGAUUUUUUUGGUUUAGUUCAUUUUUUCAUAAUAGAAAUGCGAGAUUAGAAGAAAAAAAAGUCGACAUCAAUAUCUAUAAUGAAAAGAAUAUUUUGUAAAACACAACUUAAUAUCUGAUCACUUUUUUCCGUUUUCUGUGUUUUUUAUCCAUUUUCUUUUCGUUCCGUUCCUUUCAUUAUCUCGGACGGAAUUAGAUCUUCCAUAUCAGUGCCUCACCAUUCAGUGAUCCUACUCGUCAUUAACCAGUUCCUAAAUGACGAAUUAAUCUUUUGAAGAUAAAAAUAAAUAAAAUUAAGUCUGAUAACAAAUAAAUGGCUGUAACAAUUUAUACAAAGUGCCAGCAGGGGGAAUCUUUCACAACAAACAAUAAUGUACUUUGUAGGCUUAUCAGAAGGUGACUUAUAUGUCCUGCCCCCAUUCUGCUACCUAAAUGUGGCCAGGCGUUCUGAAAAGAAAGAAAAAUACUUAAAUGCGGUAUCUAAUGCUUUAAUGAACUUUAUUGGGCAGAGAGAUCAACAAUUGGUGUUUUAUUUGCUUGCACAUUGUGAAGGUUGUAAUACUCGUGAAUGCCGCAUUUUUGAGUAAGCUGCGAGUGAAAAAAGUGAGGUUUCAAGUAUAAUAAAAAAGACAUAUUUAAUAUGAAUCAGUUAUUAAACAAACCUAUUGCAUACUGAGUGUUACGAAUAAAACAUUGUAAUUGA
This is a long non-coding RNA of Penaeus monodon (black tiger shrimp), 5408 nucleotides long. RefSeq lists it as uncharacterized. Lineage: Eukaryota; Metazoa; Arthropoda; Malacostraca; Decapoda; Penaeidae. The transcript is spliced from 3 exons. The record is from RefSeq and is a predicted model, not a curated record.